CAUUGAUUCACUUGCUCUCACUGGUGAAUUGGGUUUCCCUGAGCUGCAGAUGAUGGCUUCACAGCAAAACCAGCAGCAACGCAAGCAAACUCUCACCCUGCCACCGGCACUGAGCAAUGCCACUUCAGAACCGGCACCGACCCCAGAAGCAGUACCAGAACCAUGUCCAGCAACAGUCGAAGAACCGGAAAAUUCACCUCAGGAAGAAGAGGGGCCACAGGAGAAGUAUAAGCAGCCACUGAACCAGCCUCUUGGACCAGCUCCAGAACUAGAACCAGAACCAGUACUAUGCCCAGAACCAGAAUCAAAUCCACCAGACGUUAAAGAAAUAGAAUAUCUACAACCGGACCACCAGCAAUACAAACAUCCACCAACCCUACCCCCGGCACCAGGAAUAGAAACAUCAAAGGAAUAUCAGCAAGCAGAACCGGAACCGGAACCAGAACCGGGACGAUGCCCACCACCAAUCAGUGAACCAGAAGGUCCCCCUUUUGUGCAACCAUCUUCACCUGUGGAAGAGCAGCAACAGAAACAACCACAUCAUUGGCCGCCAAAGCGGAAGUAGCUUCCAGAUACCAAAGGGAAACCAUGAUAUGAAAAGCAAGACCCAGUGCUUGACACAGUUAACCUCAUAUUCUCAUCUGCUGUGGGUUUAGGUGGUUUUGCUGUAGAGAUUUCAGAGUUUUGUCUGGUAUAUGUUAGGGCCUGUUAAAUAUACUCCAUUAGUAUCCUUAAACUGAUUCCAUGCAUGGGACAGAUCCUCUUGAAAUCACUGGAACUCUACUGAUUCACACCAGCUGAGGAUCAGGCCCUUCUUGUCUAUCGCUCGUCUAUAAGAGAUGUAGGUGCAGGCUGUAGGUGCUAUGAAGUUCUGAGCGUAUGCUUUCACUAUCGGGUCCCUGCUUUUGAAACCCAUCCAUGAGAAAGAGUGAGAACUGGGCUGUCUAUACUGAUUUUUACCGCCACAACCCUAUUAAUAGAUCCCAAGGGCCAUUGUGAUCUUCAUGAACUCCACUCUGCUAAUAACUUCCAGCCAGAAGGGGCCACUGUGAUCUUCAUGAACUCCACUCUGCUAAUAACUUCCAGCCUCAGGAAAAAGGAGUGUCUAGAUUCAGUGUGUAUUAACUGGAGAAUGACGAGGAUCAGUUAAAAGGCUUGAACAGGGAGAGAACAGUCUAUAAGUUAGGAGUGUUUCACUCUAAUGCAUGAUGGGGUUGACUUUUCACCUUUGAGGAACUAAAAUCCCUGGGGCGUAGAUAGACACUAACCAAUAUGCACUGUGGAAUGUCAUAUGCUGGGAUAAUUGUAUCAUUAAAUGGCAUGGUCCACUAUUUGAUUGUGCUCUGCUCUCUAGCUGCAUGUGUGACACAAUAAAAUCUACCAUUCCUGGAUGGUCA
Terrapene triunguis (Three-toed box turtle) is the source of this 1397-nucleotide long non-coding RNA. RefSeq lists it as uncharacterized. The record is from RefSeq and is a predicted model, not a curated record. NCBI's taxonomy places the organism in Eukaryota, Metazoa, Chordata, Testudines, Emydidae. The transcript has 2 exons.